GGGUCAGUAGGUUGGUCGUGCCACCGGUACGUACUGGUCUCACUGAUUCCUCCUUCCUGAAGAGCCGUAAUGCCAUUAAUUUGGUGUUGCGGGGAGACAGGACUGUUACUUUGAAAAAAUUAGAGUGUUUAAAGCAAGCUAACGCUUGAAUACAUUAGCAUGGAAUAAUGAAAUAGGACGAUCGAUCCUAUUUUGUUGGUUUCUGGGAUUGACGUA
RNAcentral lists this ribosomal RNA (216 nucleotides) under Glomeromycotina sp. RNAcentral describes it as "partial small subunit ribosomal RNA". The stretch from base 40 to 216 matches the Rfam family "Eukaryotic small subunit ribosomal RNA", at positions 686 to 864 of the family's 1831-position model. Lineage: Eukaryota; Fungi; Glomeromycota. The record is from RNAcentral.